GAUGAACGCUGGCGGUGUGCCUAAUACAUGCAAGUCGAGCGAACAGACGAGGAGCUUACUCCUCUGACGUUAGCGGCGGACGGGUGAGUAACACGUGGAUAACCUACCUAUAAGACUGGGAUAACUUCGGGAAACCGGAGCUAAUACCGGAUAACAUGUUGAACCGCAUGGUUCAACAGUGAAAGACGGUCUUGCUGUCACUUAUAGAUGGAUCCGCGUCGCAUUAGCUAGUUGGUAAGGUAACGGCUUACCAAGGCAACGAUGCGUAGCCGACCUGAGAGGGUGAUCGGCCACACUGGAACUGAGACACGGUCCAGACUCCUACGGGAGGCAGCAGUAGGGAAUCUUCCGCAAUGGGCGAAAGCCUGACGGAGCAACGCCGCGUGAGUGAAGAAGGUCUUCGGAUCGUAAAACUCUGUUAUUAGGGAAGAACAAAUGUGUAAGUAACUAUGCACGUCUUGAUGGUACCUAAUCAGAAAGCCACGGCUAACUACGUG
This 497-nucleotide ribosomal RNA is filed under the name uncultured bacterium. RNAcentral's name for it is "partial 16S ribosomal RNA". It matches the Rfam family "Bacterial small subunit ribosomal RNA", at positions 28 to 507 of the family's 1533-position model. The record is from RNAcentral.